Molecule: microRNA precursor, 200 nt
Filed under: Oryza sativa Indica Group (long-grained rice)
Lineage: Eukaryota; Viridiplantae; Streptophyta; Magnoliopsida; Poales; Poaceae
Description: MIR1435 microRNA precursor family
Rfam family: MIR1435 microRNA precursor family
Source: Rfam by way of RNAcentral
UAGUUUUGUCCCAAGUCAAACUUUUCUAACUUCGACCAAGUUUAUAGAAAAAAUGCACCAUCAUCUAUAAAAACAAAUAAAUACAACGCGAAAACAUAUUUCAUGGUUGAUUUAAUGAAACUAAUGUAGCGUUGUAGAUGUUGGUGCAUUUUUCUAUGAUCUUGUCAAAGUCAUUGAAGUUUGACUUAGAAAAAAACUAA